This is a long non-coding RNA of Perognathus longimembris pacificus (Pacific pocket mouse), 1216 nucleotides long. RefSeq lists it as uncharacterized. The record is from RefSeq and is a predicted model, not a curated record. The transcript is spliced from 2 exons. Lineage: Eukaryota; Metazoa; Chordata; Mammalia; Rodentia; Heteromyidae.
UUGGAAAUAGAAAGGUAAAUUAGCCUUUUGAGGUGUGCAUUCUCCUAAUUUUCUGGAAAGGUUGACAUAUUUAGUAAUAUCUUUGAUUUCAUGCAUAAUUCAUUUUGACUUUACAAGAGAAGAUGAGCAUUUUAAAUAAAAUUUGCAAAGACAGAAUGACCAGGAAGACAUUUCUUCCUCUGUACUGAGGUAUCAAGUUCAACAUGCUGAUGGCUUAAACAAAAGCAGUAAAAUCAUUGUCAGAUUGAAAAAACCAACAUUUCAUUGAACAACGUUUAUAUAAUGUACCCAGAUUAAAUAGUAUUUUAGUGAGUUCAAGAGGCACACAUAAUAGCAAUGUUAUUACAGGAAUCUGGUAGUAGAUCCAAAAGCUUAGGAAUGUAAUAACAAAAGCAGGAGUAUGUUAUUGUUUCUUAUUCAACUGUCUGUAGGAGGGGGGUUGAGGGGGUGGUGAUGUUUGUAUUGUUAAAAGGGGUCGUCAACAAGCUCAUAAAAAGCAGAUCAAGGAAAAGCCUGGCACUGAUUCUUCUGAGGACCACCAUAAACCAAGACUGGAGGUAGGAGACAAAAUGACUUCUUAGGCAGGGAUGGGCAAUGAUGAAAGCCAAACUCAGGUCAGAGAUGAGGUUUAUAGCUCAAGUCUUUCCUAAGACAGCUAGAAGACUACCAAGCCAAUAGUUUUUAGAGAAUACAUAUCCCAGACUGAAAUGAUCUAAGUGCUACUUGGUAGAAGUAUUCUGACACAUAGCUUUGUCUGCAUCAAAAUGUUUUGAAUCUAUACAGGAUGAGGCUUAAAAACAAGCAGAAAGGUGGGGGGCAGGAGGGAAAAAACUGAGAGAAAAUGAGGGAAGAGGGAUGCUAUUCAAAAAAUAAUACUCAUUACACUUGACUUAUGUAACUGUAACCCCUUGUUCAUCAUCUUUACAAUUAAAAAAAGAACCAAGCAGAAUUCAAAGGAGAUUAGCAUAACAUUAGCAUUUCUGUGCAAGUCUUAGUUUAAAAAGAAUGUACUAUGCUGGGUGGUGGCCCAUGCCUGUAAUCAGCAGUCAACCAGACAGAGGCAGGAGAAUACUGAGUUCCAGGCCAGGAGUCUAUCCUGUAAAUUGAGAUUAUCUAAAAAAAACAAGAAACAAAAAGUGCUUGCCUACCAAGUUUCUGGCCGAUGGUGCACUCUUCUGCACAAGUAAUUUUUGCCUUGCUGAGACACACUAGCAAA